AGCUGCAGCUAAGUUUUCACCAUGGAGUCUGUGGCUAAAGGAGAGAUCCAGCAAGAAGGAGAAUGAAGGCUUGUGCUUCUGCCAGUUCACUCGCUACUUAGCCCUGGGACCGUGAGACACAGCUCCUGAUCUGAGCACUUGCUCUUGCUACGGGCACUAACUGAGGGAAGCCUAGGUGGCCAUACCUCCCUGCUCUCCUGCCAGCUCUGCAAAUAAAUGCUAGGAGGCAGCUGAUGCCGGCCGGCCGGCUGCCAAGCAGGUCAGGCCUCUGCAGCUGAAACUGCCCGAGAUUCCUGAGCGGGAUGAUGAAUCAGCUGCGUCCUUUAGGGCACAUCCUCUCUUGGACGUGCUGCUGGGAUGUCGUGUCUCUCCGCCGCUUCCCCGUGGUGAGAGUGUGCUCAGAGCUGCUGGCUGAUGACACUGGCGUGGGAAGCCUGGCAGCAUGUGGGACAGAACUCCUCUCAGCGCUAUCAGGCCACUUGUUCCUUGAAUUCCCCUCCACAAAGUGGGAUGGUGAGAGGAGAAGAGACUUAGCACUUCCCAUCCCUGCUGAUGAAUGGAGCCAGGCUUUCUUUGGGCUCCAAGUGAAUUCACUGGGCCAGAUGCUGAGGCCAAGCCCCAGGGUUGCUUGUUCCUGGGAAGGAAAGUCUCCUUUUUCAGUGCUGCCCCCUAAGGCAGAGGAUACAAGAAGGGAGCGUCAUUUUUAUGACAGCAAGGAUGCAUCCUUUGCAAUUGUGACUCCCUUUGUCUGGAAUGUGGGAUGCUGUGGCUGUCCUGCUGUGUUUUCUGUCUUUCUCUGGGACAGCUGAAGUGAGUACCACAGUAACAGACAGGUUUGUGAUGGAUGGGCUGGCAGAACCAACAUAUUUUACAGAGGUUAAUAAGAGUUUUGUAGCUGUUAUUUAUUACCAGGACAGGGAACGCCUACAUGUGCCCCUAUCUCUUAUUGCAGCAGUAACGCUUGUCUUGAAAACCAGCUCAUCAGCUUUCCCCCAGGCACUCGUUUGCUUUUCCCCUCCUUACAGUUUCUCCAGGCCAUGCUGCCCAUUUAGCGUUUCCCUGAACUACAAGGGACAGACUGAGUGUCUGGGAAUGUACACACAAAUCAUAUGACCCAAAACAGCCUGCAUUUUUUCCCCCCUUGUUACUGGAUCACUCAGGUGCUCUUGCUUUGAAUCUCCCUUUUUGUUACCUACCAGGCCAUUCGUGGCUGGGAGGUUGUUGGGACAGGGGCAGUUCGACACUGCAUGCGCAGCACAGAGGAGCAGUCUGACCUGCUCACAGCUCCACGUGCUGCUGCUCUAGUGACAGCGGUGAUUUGUCAUGCCUGCUAUAGGAAGAAGAAAGUAACUGCUUGCAGUAAGCCACAUACUAAUCAGGAGCUUUUGGGGACCUUUUCCUGUUUGUUUUCCUCUCCAAGUGACUUGCCUCUGAGCAGGACACUUUGCAGCCCCGAGCCUAUGUCAGCCCUGCCGGGGUCUGGCAUUUGUCAGUCACUCCAAAGAUGGGAGCUCAACUGAGAGGUUUUCCCAGCUGCCAAACAUUGUUCCUACUAUGGGAGGCUUUUGGUCCCAACUUUAUAGAAGCUGUCAGUGCUCUGGCUGCUGGGCAAUGCUUCUGCCAGCCCGGGGGUGAAAAAGGAAAGGCAGGGCUGUCCAAGUCGCUGGCCAGAUAGCGCCCGGAUUUCACCGCCACGUGAUGCAGCUGUUUAGCAGCUUGUGCGUGCAGACACUGUUGAAAACCAAAGGGGCAUGGGAGAAAAGGAAGAAAUGUUUUGUUUCUCCUCUCCCCUCCUCUGCCUGUUUUUGUCAUGCUGCUGUUCUCCUGCCCUGCUCCUUAGCUAUUUGGCAGAAUCGCUGCCAUUGCAAAUGUACGUGACUAAUCUGUUACUUGAGGAAACGAUUCACAGGCAUGAAUGACCUAGGCAGUCAAGGAGCUGAUGGGAUCCCGUGCUGGGAGGAGUGUUUUGGGGAUUUUGGGGGUUUGGUGUGCUUUUUUUUUUCUCUUUCCCCUAGAGGGUUGCUCCCUCUGUUAACUGAUGGGAGAGAUACCCAUCGGAGUGCUAGAUGCAUGGAUAGGGUCUCUGUUAAAGAGGUGGCCACCCUCUUCCCAGCCCCAGGGGCAGAUGUGCUGCACCAGGACUGCACGUCCCCCUUCCUCCCCAGCCACGUGGAUGCCGUUCCCUUGCGAUGGCACGGUGCCAUCAGCCACAGCGUGCUCGCCGGAGUGCAGAGGCUCUGGAAGGUCUGGGUGUGAGAUUAGGGCAGAUCCUUACUCGUUCAUCUCCCAACCAGCUCAGGCAGACACCCGAGGCCGUGGGACCGGAAUGCUCUGACCUGAAUGCAGCCAGGCACUGUCCCUCCAAGGCUGGUCCUCGCCUCCCUCCACCACUUUGCUUUGCUCCAUUUCAGCUGUGCAUCCUUAAGUGAUUCAGGGGCUCCGGGCCAAAGGGCUCUUUGCCCCGCUGGGCUGAUCCUGAAGAGAAACGGUGAUGUGCCAGGAGGUCUGGGAGGCGAAUGUCAUUUCAUCACUGUUCUCCCGGGAGAGUAAUGUCCGUAGCCAGACAUAUGCUCAUGGCCUGGAAUGAAGUCGACUGCAAUUACAUCCUGAGGGAGUCACUCAACGGGGGUUUUGUGGAGGCAGGACGCAGGCUCUGGUGGAGCUGCACAUGUGCUGUUAGACCUCCAACUGCACUCGCUCUGCCUUCAGCUUUGUGGGAGCGAGGAGCAGCAGGCUCAGAAAUACAGCCAGUCUGGUGCACAUCUGGAGGCAGUAAUUGGAGUGCUGUCUCUGUGCUAGAUGAGUGCCUGUGGGGAGUUCAGGGAGUGCAGGUCUGGGCCGUGUAUCACCCUGUCACCAGGACCAAGCUGGGAGAGGCACCCCAUGGCAGGUGCUACAGAGGCAAAAAAACAGCGCUCCUGAAGAGACAGAUUAGCAGCACACAAAAUGAUCUCUCUCGUCCUUGUGCACCCCAGAGCCUGGAUACUCCCCCAUCUCUCCAGCCUUGCAGCCCAGCUGUCCCAAACCCCAGACAGCAGGGAUGGAUAACAGCAGGCUGCUCUCUGUGCUGCAGCCCAGGCGAUGGAGGAGAUAAUGGGAAUCAUUUUUUGGUACAAGUACAAGCAUGAAUCCUCUGAAGAAAUACUAAAUCUAGUUGCGGUGGGAAAAAAGAGAAAAAUAAAGAAAAUGCACACACAAAACCUCGACCUCAUGUAACGUUGAAGGGUUUGGUUCUGACUUUUUUUCUCAGCUGCUGGUCCUUGAACUCCUCCCAGUGUAGCUCCACCACUGGAGCAACAGCUGGCAUGCUGAGGUGCAGUGCAGGGCUGCCAGCUCUCCUCACUGCAGAUCAAGCCUUGCACUCUGUUACUGGGGGAUUUCCUUGAAGCCCGCAUGCCUCUUUGCCAGAGUGCUGAGAUUGUGUGAGAAUUGUGCCUUUUGAUGGAAGAAAAAUAGGGGGGGGGGGGAAAGCUAAUUAAGAAAAGGUUUUUAGCACUACACUCAGGAUUGUGUAGGAAAAUUAACAAAUAGGAAAUGAAUAUGACCUACAGCGAGUAAAAUAAUAAUAUUUUUACCCUGAGCAGGACUGUAUGAGCUGUUUGGAUGACAUGUGGUGGAGCAGGGGUGUGGAAGAAAAUGGAGCCCUGCUCAGUGCUGCAGGCCUUUUGCCAUGCAACUGAAAAACUUAUUUUGCCACUCUGGAUGCUAACUCAUGUGGGUACAGAGACAUGAGCUUUCAAUACCUGCAAAUUUCCAUCUGGUUUGUUAGCAGCACUCCUCAUUAAGGGGAUUAUGAAAAGUUGGAGAUGCUACAGUGUUUCACACUCAUUUGACUGUGGUGGCUGAGCUGAGCCACUUCUCACUUGCCCUCCUGAAGGUGAACAGAGGACAAGGCUGUGUGAUGGGACUGGUGACAACUCGGUUUCAUCCUCUGCUGCAGCAGCCUGGCUGAGGUAAAGGUCUUUGCCCGUGGUUGUUAUUGGUUCCAUAUUUGCUUGGGAUCUUUGCAUGCAGAGGAUGGCUUUUGGCUUGCGAAGAGGAACUUCUCCGAGGCUGGACCGUUUCCCCUCACGCUCCUGAGUCUCUCCAAGAUUGCGUGUACUGCUCAGAAAGGCUGCUAAGGGCAAGGUGCUUUUCUGCAUUUAACAGAACAUUCUGAAAGCUCAUUAAUAAAGGCCAGAUAAAAUAAAGCUUGGAAAGUCAACAUGUUCAAGAAGAUAUGCCAUUCUGGGAAACUAGUGGAGAGGAGGUGUGUAUUUAUGUGGACAAAAGAAGCCCAAACUGUAAACCAUAAUAUAUCUGUUAGCUCAUUAAUGUGUCUGACUAAUUCCAGCGGUGUUCCUGCUGCCCAGCAGCAAAAGUGCAAAUAAGUGGACAGCUGUGAUUUAGUGCCAAAUAUUUGAACACAUCGUGACAAUUCAGGCCACCCACUCUUUUAAGUGAAUGCAACUUCUGGGGAAUCAUUUCAAACUGGGCUGAAGUGCAGAGCAGCCACUUUCAUGUGCAUCUCAGCCAAAUGGCCCUUAAGUAUUUGGGACCAAACUUUGCCUUCUGUUACACCCCGGGGGUGCUCAUUCACUCCAGGGUUUGCACUAUGUAGCUGAGGGGCAGAGCUGACUCUUGAUGCUAAUCUGACUUUUUCUAGCUCAGUAAGUACAAUUUCACAUGUAAAUGUAAAUGUGGAACAGAUCUGGACUCGAUUAGCUCCUGAAUCCUUGACAAAAAGCCAUAAUUGUUUAUCCAGAUGAUGUUUCUUUCUCUCUCUUUUAUUUUCUCUACACUUUAAACCCAAGGUUUUAGUGGGCUUGUGAAAUAAAUACAUGAGUGUAGACUACAGUGGUAUCAAAGGUGUGAGGGAAGCCCUUCCCUUCUCCUCAGCAGGGCUAAAUGAUCACUUGGUGCACACUUCAAUUGUGCUCUCCAGAGCCUUGGGCAGGGGUGGCUUCGGAUCUGGCUGACGAUGGGAGGGAGGGUAUUUCCAAGACAACACUUAGCCCGGGGCGCUCAUUACAGAUGUGAAGGACCUGUGAUAUAUAUCUUUUUUUUUUUCCUGGUAGGCAGUGAAAUUUGUGCUAGUGGCUAUAUCUGGGGCACAUGGUUGUUGGGGGAGGAGAAAAGCAAGGGAAUAUGGAAAAAAAAUUGUAUUUAUCAGGGUAAUCUAGUUUAGGAGCACAAGUACUAAAACAUUUUAAUCACAGUCAUACGGCUGUGUGUCACUUCAGGGCAGAAUUAAGGCUAUUUGUAUUCCUUGGUAGCACACUGCCACACUUCAACAAGUUUGAAUUUAUUUUAAGCAUAACUUUAACUCUGAAUUCCCUGGGUUUGUAAUGUCUGGUCUGGAAAUAAAUGCAACCUCUUUAUAUUAUACUUUACUCUUAAAAUAGGCUUUCCACUUUAGCUUCAUUUCUGUUGGCUCGGCAAGAGCAUGGGCUGUCAUUUCCUGCCCUGCUGGGCUUGCUGUUUAAAUGGAGAGGGCGGUGUAUCCGAAUAAAGGUACACAGCAGUAAAAACUGGGAUGGGAGAAGGAUGGCACUCCCAGAGCAGCUGUGCCACAGCUCAGUUAUUGCUUUAACUGCCCAUGCCUGACUAUCUCCUGCAUGAAUGUGUGGCUACCUUUGGCACAGACAUGCUUUCCUUGGGGGUAGAAGGAGCUCAUAAGGGGUCAAAGUUUCAAAUUAGGUUUCAUGCUGAGGAAGUGACAUGAUGAUCUCAGCUCCUAGUAAGGCCACUGUGGGAUGAUGUUCAGCUCACAUCAGGUUGCUUGUGAGCUUGGCUGACACUUCUGGAGCUGUGUGCUGUAGGUCUUCAUGUGCCACAAUGGAGAGGCUGCUCCCUGCCAGGCUAGGCACAGCCGGCCCAGCAGCGUGCCCAGGGAUGUGGCACAGGGAUAGCUCCCUGCAGGAGAGCUGUUUACCUCUGUUUGCCUCCUCACAGGGGAAAUCACCUCCUCUUCCUCCUGUGACAGGGAAGGCUGGUGGCUCAGGGAACUCUGGAGACAGAGUCCAUGCCCUGACUGCUUUUAAUACAGAUUUCUUUGGACAAGGCUUCUUCUUGAUAGGAGAGAAACAGCAUCAUUCCUGAAGUUUCUAUGCCUUGGCUUCUGCCUGCAGCCAUUACCUUCUUCCCCCACUCCCAAGCCAUGCUGCUGGGCUUCUUGCCUUGCUACACAUCCAGAGACACAGUGAAUACAUAUGUCCCCCUCUCUCCCUCGCUCUCCUGUGCAAGUUCUCUCACUCUCUCCCUCAUUUCCCUCCCAAUACACCCAUGCCCUACCCCCUGACUAAAGCAAAAUUUCCCUCUUUUUUUGGCAGCUGGCCUUCCCAGGGGCCCAGACUAACAGAAGCCUGAGCCCUGACUGACUGUGCCUUGGCCAGAGCAGAGUAGCUCUUUGCUGAGAGAUAAUGUUGCCUUAAAGGAGAAGGGAUUUUUAAAAUUUCCCUAUCUGUUUCACUAUCUUGCUUACCCCUUUGUUUCUAGGCUCCCAUGAGGAGAAUGAUGCUUGUGCCUGGGACCUGCUGCCUCCCAGUCACCUACUGGGAGUUCCCCUCUUCCUGGACAAUCUUCCUGCCUGCAGAGUUCACCUCUGAGCCAGGCCUCCCGUAGCUAAAGCAAACCUUGCUUUUGACUUUCUGCAAGCUCUGGAUUUCUGCAAGGCCUUUCCAGGACUUGCAGCUUUCCUCCAGCUCAGCCCUUGCAAGCCAAAUGAUGAGGCUUCCAGGGCUUCUCCCGCGGGAUGGCUCCAGUGCAUGCAUCUCACUGUCAGGAAGCUUUUCCUGACACUCAGCCUAAAUUUUCCCCUUUUCAAAUGUCAUCCUGGCACUCCUACUUAGCAUGCACUUUCUGUGCGUCUCACUCCCUCUGAGCAGGCUGUGCUUUUCCCUCUCCACUGCCUGGGCUCUUUCUGGUGCUUGCUGGCUGUCACCCACUUUUCUCGCACCCGCCUCAGCUUGGCCAGUCCAAGCACAUUAUCUUACAGCUCAUUUCCCUUUAUAAAUCAAACCUCCCAGGCAUUUUCCUCUCUUUUUUUUUUCCUAGUUCUUUCUUAUUUUUAAUUU
This is a long non-coding RNA of Onychostruthus taczanowskii (white-rumped snowfinch), 7055 nucleotides long. RefSeq lists it as uncharacterized. The record is from RefSeq and is a predicted model, not a curated record. The transcript is spliced from 11 exons. NCBI's taxonomy places the organism in Eukaryota, Metazoa, Chordata, Aves, Passeriformes, Passeridae.